AGUAUUAAUAAUUAUAUGAUUAUUUUACGUGUUUCAUCUUUUGUUCUGAUUACUGAGAGAAAAUGUUUUGUGUAGCCACGUGUAUGUACUUAACCUGUCAUUUCGCACCACGAGGGUGACACUCCAAAAUAGCGAACGAGGUUGUGUCGUAGUAUUUCUUAGGUUGAAGGCUAAACAAUAAAAGGUAAUUUUGCACUCUGAAAUGUACUACACUUAUAGAACACCCGAAAAUAGAUAUUUUUAGUUCUUUAGUUUAUUUAUAGUUUUAAUAUCGAGGUACAUUUACAUAUUUUCAAGAAUUUCAUAUUUAAUUUUACGUUUGACUGUGGGGUAUUGUGUCUGCUGCCAUAAUUGUGUUAGGGUAAACGUUGAAUACUGCCAUUCCAGCCAAGUACGAAAAACUGUAUUUUUGAGUUAAAGGAUGAUGUGAAGUAUUUGAAUAUUACCUGUAACAUAAAUAUAGUGACAUAAAUUUGUUAGGCUUCAAUAAUGUAGGCAGGAUUGUUUUCAGUGAGAUAUCCCGGAUCCUUUUGUUGCCACCCUUCUGUAUACUUGGUACUAGCUGCAACUGAUCCUGUGGUUAUGCAGAGAUUCUCAGUAAUACAGCAUAGCCAAGAGACUGUUUCCGAGGUAAAAGUUCCAUAUCACGUAUCCAAGUUUAUCCCUUCAACUUGAUGGCAUGAUACUGAAUGCACUAAACCUGUGGUAUACCUAUGAUCAAUGCUGUUUUAAUUUAGUGCGUUAAAUAUUCUGUACAUAUAGAAAAACUUGUGAUAUAACAAUGAGUUACUAUUGUUAAUUGAAUACUAAAAAAAGUCUACAAGACUGAGAUAAUUUGUUCGUUAAGUAGAGUUCUGCAAAUACGGACCCCUCUCAUCCACACAUCUGGUUAAUCUGGACAAGAUUUAAAAAAAAAAGUUUUUACUAAUUUUUGUAUGUUUUUGUAUGUAAAGUAGUGUUAAAACUAAGGUUAAGCUGUGGGAAAAGUAGCAUGUUUAUAAGGGGAAAAAACCUUAGAUUUUUACAGUUUUAUCCCUCUACAACUUGUAUUAGUGCAUUUUAAGGCAAAUUCUGUUUCAUAGGGACUUUUUGCUGGUUUUCUCAGGGUUUGUUCCAUGUAGUCUGGAUUAGCGAGAUUUUACUGUGUUGUGAUAGGCAAGUAGUUUGUUAGGCCAGGAUCUUUCGACAUAAUAAAAUUAAAACAACAGGCCAAUGUAAACACAAUCAUGCAUCAGAAAAACUUGGAUAUGUGACACUGAACAUUUAAAGUUAUGGCCGGGACCAUAACCACAUUAAUAAGCACAAUUAUGGUGGGAAUCAGUUUUGGCCCUGGCCAUAAUUAACUUAUAUUAAACUUUCCUGGCUUUAGGAAUCAGUCUUGGCUAUGGAGUAUUCCUAAGGAUCUCUGGAAAACUACGGGAUCAGGGAUAUCUCUUGUUGAAAGCAGUUGUGUCUAUGCUAUUAAAGCAUAAAACAAAAUAAAGUAUCUAUUUAUAAUGAUUUUACACCAUCCUUUAACCCAAAUGUACCAUCACACGUUUACCUGGACUCCACGGAGGCACCCGAGCCACCAUACAGGCCAAUGUAAAAUGGUUAAUUACAUGUGAAGUUCUUGAGUAUAUCUGAGUGCACCUCAGUAUUAUGAAUAGAAAUGAAAUAGAAACUGAAUAAAUCCAUUUUAAGGUGUUUGUCCCAUCUUUUUUUUAUUAGUAGCACGUCCCUACAGUAAACAACUACCGGUAAAUAUUUACUUGGGCGGUAUUUCCGAAACAAAAUGUUAAAAAUCCGAAAAUACCUUUAUUUAAUGCUCUUCAACUUCCUCUUUUCAUUAAAAGUGGCGGAGGAUUCCAAAUACUUUAGGAGAUAUCGAAUUUUUAAAUUUCAUCAUAUGUAGUUGAGCGGUAUUUGCAAAAAAAAAAUGUUAAAAAUCCGAAAAUACCAUUAUCAUAUGCUCUUCAACUUCCUCUUUUCAUUAAAAGCGGCGGAGAUAAGAAAUUCCAAAUACUUUAGGAGAUAUCGAAUUUUUUAAUUUUGCAAUACAAGACCUGUGGAACCAUUCCAGCGGCGCCAUUUUUGUUAUUUUGCCGUGUGUUCGUGAAUACGUGAAUCGUGAAUGCGUAAUUAAUAAAAUGGUUGAUUAGGUCAGGUCAGUUACAUUAUUAAUACUUUCAAACUAAGCCGACAUUAAAAAUUAUUUUGUGAAUUAAUUUUAAUGGCUGUUUAGUUUUAAAAUAUUUAUAAUGUAACUGACCUGACCAAACAAACCCGGACAGAGGGUGAACAGUAAACUAAAAUGGUCGAUUAGGUCAGGUCAGUUACAUUAUAAAUACUUUCAAACUAAGGUGAUAUUAAAAAUAAUGUGAAUUAAUUUUUAUUAUUCUUUAGUUUUAAAUUAUUUAUAAUGUAACUGACCUUACCUAACAAACCCGUAACAAAGGAUGUACAGUAACAACUCACGUAAAUUUUUUUGUUACUUAUAACUUGCGCAACAAUAUCAAAAUAACAAAUAAGACUUUAAAAUUAGAAACGUUAAAAACUCACCUAAGUUGGAGGCGGUAAUUAAACACCGUUUUAAACAAUAAUUGAACUAAAUAAUCACGUAUUAGUUCAUUUGAAUUCUGGCCUAUCACGAACAAUCACGUGACAUCAUUAUCCAAUAAAAAAAUAGAUACUCGUACGUAAACAAGAAACAAUGGUGCACGCACGCCACAGGAAUGCGCUGGUUUUGUGCUGAAAUUUAAAAAUUCGAUAUCUCCUAAAGUAUUUGGAAUUUCUAAUCUCCGCCGCUUUUAAUGAAAAGAGGAAGUUGAAGAGCAUAUAAUAAAGGUAUUUUCGGAUUUUUAACAUUUUUUUUUUCGCAAAUACCG
Molecule: long non-coding RNA, 2867 nt
Organism: Bacillus rossius redtenbacheri
Lineage: Eukaryota; Metazoa; Arthropoda; Insecta; Phasmatodea; Bacillidae
Exons: 2
Source: RefSeq, a predicted model, not a curated record